UAGACCAGGAAUCUGAGGCACAUA
RNAcentral lists this non-coding RNA (24 nucleotides) under Cricetulus griseus (Chinese hamster). Lineage: Eukaryota; Metazoa; Chordata; Mammalia; Rodentia; Cricetidae. The record is from RNAcentral.